UACGAAGGGGGCUAGCGUUGCUCGGAAUCACUGGACGUAAAGGGUGCGUAGGCGGGUCUUUUAAGUCAGGGGUGAAAUCCUGGAGCUCAACUCCAGAACUGCCUUUGAUACUGAGGAUCUUGAGUUCGGGAGAGGCGAGUGGAACUGCGAGUGUAGAGGUGAAAUUCGUAGAUAUUCGCAAGAACACCAGUGGCGAAGGCGGCUCACUGGCCCGGUACUGACGCUGAGGUGCGAAAGCGUGGGGAGCAAACAGG
RNAcentral lists this ribosomal RNA (254 nucleotides) under uncultured bacterium. RNAcentral describes it as "partial 16S ribosomal RNA". It matches the Rfam family "Bacterial small subunit ribosomal RNA", at positions 524 to 776 of the family's 1533-position model. The record is from RNAcentral.